AACUGACUGAGUUGGUAGAGUACAACUUUGCCAAAGUUAGGGUAGCGAGUUUGAAUCUCGUUUUCACUCCA
Molecule: transfer RNA, 71 nt
Filed under: Xenorhabdus bovienii SS-2004
Lineage: Bacteria; Pseudomonadati; Pseudomonadota; Gammaproteobacteria; Enterobacterales; Morganellaceae
Description: tRNA-Gly (GCC) (tRNA-Gly-GCC-3-1)
Source: RNAcentral